Molecule: long non-coding RNA, 6931 nt
Organism: Crocodylus porosus (Australian saltwater crocodile)
Lineage: Eukaryota; Metazoa; Chordata; Crocodylia; Crocodylidae
Source: Ensembl
AUUUGAUUAGUCACAGGCUGAGUCACUUUCUUUGCACACUGCAUUGGAUUGUCUGAGUUACUUUAUGCCAUACGAAGGCAGGAAGAAGGCAGCAGGAGCUUUGUUCGGUUAAACAUAAGCCAAGUCAAGAGGACUUGAGGGGAUCUGGCACCUUGCAGGAUGAAGCCUAAGAACAGCUACGGUGAGACGUACCGCAGACCCGGGUGGUGUGCUUAGAAGAGGUUGGCCGGCUUCCAUUGCUUAUGCAAGGACAAAUAGCCAGGAGCUUCCCAGUGAGAGAGGGAGCAAGUGGGUCCCUCCAAGAGUCCCAGCAGGCACAAGCAGUGCUGGGGUUUCCUUGGAUGUUGGUGUAUGUGCCUGUGAGAAGCUGCCAUAGAGUUCUAAAGGACAAAUUUGGGGCAUUUUCUCCUCCAACAUACCUUAACCAUUAUCAAGUAAAUACCUGGUGCAACUGGACCAUUUGGGCAGGCUCCAGAAAACACAUAAUCAUUUAUGUCAAAGAAUUUAUGACUACCGAGGAUUGUGACACAAACGAGGAUAAGAUUGUGUUUGAAGGAGUCUCUUCAUUGAUCAAAAAUUCUGUAGUGUAUGCCUGUUGGAACAAGAAGAUAAAUGCUUUUGCCACCUAUGCCCAAGCUGUCCAUGUUGUCCUUCUGAGGAAGCAUGCUCCACACCAUAAAAACACACACUUUAAAGGCAAAUAUUAUGUAUUUGAACAUCAGGAAGAAGAUUCUAUUCCCAAAGAUGGUUUCAUUUCUGGGACUCCUCUUCGAAAAGUUGUCAAGAAAGCCAAUGACAGUGUUAUUAGAGCUAACAUAUCGGUGAUGAACGACAGAGAGAUUCUAGAUGACAACAUUGCUAGGACUGCCAUUAAGGAAAACCCUUUUAAGGCAACUGCACUUAAUGCAAACGCACAGCAGACGGUGCAUACAGACCCAAGUGUUACAGUUCUGGAAAGGCCUGUUCAGCUUGCACCUUGGUAUGAUACAUGGACUCCUAGUUUAAAAAUAGAACGUCCUGCCAUCUUGGAGUCUGAAAAGCUGUCUAUGAAAUUGGUGGUCAACAAAGAGAUGCAUUGCACUGGGGAAUCUCUUGGAAGUUCAAUACAAACUGCAGCAUCUGCUAACUGGCAGCUGUGUACUCCUGCCAAAGAAGAAAUUGUAGUGGAUUUCAGCGGUGUGUACAGACCAACAAGACUUCCAGGCUUACUUUCUGAUGCCCCUGACUUAAGUGUGUUUCCCUUAGUGGAACCCUUGAAACUCCUGGAGGUGAAAGGACCAGGGCAUAGGCCAACCAUAAAACCAACACAUCUGAAUUACCCUAUCCUGGCUACAUACUCACAGAUUCUACCUCAUGACAUCACCGAAACCAUAGAAGGAAAAAAUAUUGAUGCUUCACACUCCCAAAGUCUUGGCAGUGUUACACUGACAGAGGGGCUUCUGCAGUCUAAACUCUUGGCUUAUGAAGCAGUGAGCGGUCCUGCUGAUGACCUUGAGAAGGGUUUGUGGCCUACCCAUGGCUUGACUAGUCAGCAUGGCAUGGUACUUGAUCAUUUGCAAUUUGUAUUGGAGACUAAGGGAAUGGAUAGAUUGGGAAGCUGUCACAGUCGAACUAUGCCUGUGGCUGAAUUUGGAAGCCAUCACUCCCAGAUUCUAGAACAGAAAUAUCCAGAGGUUGAGUAUUUUGAAAGUUUUAGGAUAGCCACUGACCAAGAGAAAAUCAUGUUGGUCACUGCAGCACCACACAGCAUGUUGGAAGGCAAGAAUCACUUGAGGUUGCAAACCAAGCAAUCGGUGCCUUCAUCUGCUGUAGAGCAAGAAAACAUCCUUGCAAGUACAACAGGUUGCAUACCACAUACAAAGGUAUCUAAGCAACUAGCUGAUCAAAAGGCUGAUGCAUUAGAAGUACCCUAUUCAGCUGUAAAAUAUAUCCAACCUGUGGACAUAGCCACAGACCUGGUAACUGUCUUCUCAUGUGCAGAAGCCUCCUUUACACCACUUACCUGGGCAUGGGAAGCGGGGCCCACAGAACUGGAAUCUAUCUCCUUCCCAAGUGCAGAAGCAUUCCUGUCUCCAACAGUCUCAGAACUGGAGCCUGCCUUCCCCUUCCUAAGUGCAGGAGUGCCCCUCAUUCCUAAGGCCUUGGAGCUGGAGCCUGCCUCCCUCUUCCCAAGGGGAGAAUCCUUCUUUCCUCCUUCAGUCUUGGAACUGGAGCCCAGCCUCUUCCCAAAUGCAGAAACCUCUUGGCCCCCAAGGUCCUUGGAAUUGGAGCCUGCCCUUCCCUUCCCAGGGCCAGAAGCCUCCCUCACUCCCUCAGCCUCAGGAGAGCAGUCCAGUCUCUCCUUUCCAUGUGAAGACCCAUUUUUUACUCCAGUUGCCAUGGAUCUGGAAUCUGUCUUGACACUGGAGCCCGUCCUCUUCUUGCCAAGUGCAAAGGCCUCCCCUACUCCAAAGGUCUUGGAAACAGAGCUUGUCUUUCCCUUCCCAAACAUGGACUCGCCAACUCCGGUAGCCUCAGAAUUGGAGCCCAGUCCUGAAGAACUAGAGCUUAUCUGCUUUCUCCUGAAUGUAAAAUCUUCCCUUAUACCAGCUGCCAUGGAUCCAGAGCUGGCCUCUUCAAUGCUGGAGCCUGUCCUCUUCCCGAGUGCUGAAGCUUCCUUUAUGUCAGUGGCCUCAGAUGUGGAACCCAUCUACUUCCCAAGUACAGAAAACUCUCUACCUCCAGUGGCCUCUGAACUGGAGCCUGUCCCCACAGAAUUGGAUUCAAACUUUUUCUGGAGUGCAGCAGGCCCUCCCUUUCUAAGGGCCCUAGAAGUAGGGCCUGUUCUCCCCUUCCCAGGCACAGAAGCUUCCAUCGCCCCAGCAGGCCCAGAACUAGAAUUCGUCUUCCAGAGCGCAGAAGCCUCCUUCAGUCCAGUGGCUUCAGAACUGGAGCCUGCCCUCCGCUUCCUUCAUGCAGUGGCCCCCUUUCCUCCAGCUACUCGGGGUGUAAGUGCUUUAAAAGAUCAGCUGUCCUUGGGGACAGAAAGCAGCCACUACAUGGAUGCCCUCAAAGAGGCAGAGCAUGUCCUCACUAGUACAACAACAACCACGCCUCUUCCGACUGCUCGUGUGGAUAACCUGCUAGAAGCCAAGUUGCACGCAAGCCUGCUGGCUGACAACUGUGGGGUUCCAGGUUCUACAGAACGGGAACAAGAACGAGUCUUCCCAAACCCAACUAUUUCUCAGGAAAAGGGAACGUAUGCCCAACAGCUAAUAGUAAAGAGUGGGAGAGAAGAUGAAGGCAUCCAUUGGGUAGAAACUGUGGAAUCCAAAGCAGUUGAUGGAAAUCUCCUUUUCCCAAGUCUCUUCCCUGCAAUUAAGCAGCAAGUCUUAACCCCAGAACCUGAGUUUGAGGACCAUAUAAGUUGCUAUUCCUUGGUACCAAAGUCUUUCACUAACAUGCCACCAAUCUUAAUGGGGAUGGACCACAGAGGAGGGAAGCAAAAUGAGUUUCUAACUUCUAGCACCAGUGUUACACUGCCUCUGGUACAUGUAGACUCGCGCACUGAAGUCCAACCAACAGUGCCCAUGAAGGAGAUCACUCAAACAUGGAAACAAGCACUCCCACCUUGUAUGGAACAUCCCAAAGUAAAAGAUACUGUUGAGUGGAGAAGUGCCUCUCCAUUUACUAGUACUGGCCACACUGCUCCAGUGCUUCAAACAGGAAAAUUAGCAUUAAGAGAGAAGAUGGAUUUGGCUCCUGUCCAGUCCACCUCUAAUCUUGUAUCUGAGAGAGCAUGCAUGACAGAAAUGCAAGAACUCCCAAGUGAUGUUGGUCCCCCUGUUUCCUUGGAGUCAGGAUCACCUUGGCUGCUGGCAUAUCUUCCUAUAAAAAGCUGCCAUGUAAUCUUAAAAGAUGAUUUUGGGAAAUUUUCUCCUCCACACAGUGGGAUUCAAACCAAUAUCUGGUGCAACUGGACUAUUUGGGCAGGCCCUAGAAAGCAUAUCUUGAUUUACAUCAAAGGAUUUCAGGGAAAUGGGGAUUGUGAUGAGAAUUGGGAUAAAAUAAUUUUUCAAGGGGUCAUGUCAAAUGUGGAAAGGAAGAUGGCUUAUGCCUGCAAGAACCAAGGUACUUUAAUCUUUGCUGCUCGGGCCUUGGCAGUCCAUAUAGUAUUUUUAUCAGGGAGAAAUUUCCUAAGCCAGGAAUACAAAUUUAAGGGAGAGUAUUAUACAUUCAAAGACUAUGAAACUGCAGACUCCAUAGAUGUUGCUUCUGAGCAGGGUCUUAAACUGCAGUCUAGGAAAACUAGUUCUAGUGGUAUCCUACUUCACCCUAAAUUGCCAAAAGUACACUCCCGACGCCUGGGCUUCCAAAAAACUACUACAGCUCCUAAUGAUCCAAAUAAAUUGCACAAGCUGCCCACAGACCAAGAAGCUGGAAAAGCUACAAACUUAGAAAUUCUCAGAAACCAGAUUCUUCAUAAUAACUUGCAUGCCUAUCUCUCUCAAGCCAUGGACAGCACCACAUCACCCACUCCCUUCCCAAAGGGGGAGAAGCCUAUGAAUUUGGGGGAUAACAAAAACUAUAGUAGGGAAGAGAAGCCUUCUGACUUUCUAAAGAAAACUCCAGGUCUAAAUAUCUCUGUGGUGAGUGCCACAAAAGAUGAGAAAAGGCCGGUGCUUGUUUUUCGUAGACUUCCGUACAGGGUAACCAUCCAUUCAGACUGGCUGUUCAAACCUUUGGGUAUGAAACAACCCAAAAAAUCCACUGAAGUAGAAAGUGUAAGCACUUCCAGAAAACUGGGACCACAGCAUGACUCGGCAGUUCACCGGAGACCAGCUGGCCCAGAAGAUCUGCAGUCUGACGUGAGACCGUAUGAAGCUGAAAUUUCUACCUCUCGUCAUGCCUAUCAGUCUUUAGAGGGAAUGAGGGAGAGAACUCAAACCGUUGCUCCUCAGACUUUCAGAGUUGACCUACCCAAGGACCAAAAGACGCUGCAGGCCAAUGCUGUGGAUUUGCAGGGAGUGAUUCAUGACCACAUUCGUUCGCUGGAAGACUCUUGGUCUAACGCUGACCUGACCAAGGGGAUUAAAGAAGCAACUGGUCAAUUGCAACACAUAACAGAGUUGGAGAGAAAUGUUAAAAAGAGCAGUACUGAUCAGGAAGCCUUUGGAGAUGACAAUGGCAAAGCUAAUCUGUACUUUAAGUCAGCUGUUGCCUAUACAGAAAUGAAACUUGGUGUCCAGUCUCUUACCUCGGAAACAUCAAAGCCUGAUAUCAAAACCGAGUCAGUUCUGAGUCCUGCAACUGUACAGAACACCCUGGAUGUUUCUUCCCUGAAGGCAUCUAGCAGUUACUGGGCAGACGCCACUGAAUUUUGGGGUGUUGCGAGGAACGUCCAGAGUGACCUGUUGGUGGCUGAAGCAGCUACCUCUACCCUACAUGUUGACAGUAGAAUAACCAGAAUGAAAGAGCAUCUGCUACUCGCAAGCACAAAAUCUUAUCCUUUCUCCCCCUCCUUUGAUGGGAUAACAAAGCAUAUUGAAUCUCCAGAAGAAGAUGCGCAUGAUUCCUCUGAUUUGGCUUCUCUCCUGGCAUCUCUUGAAAAUGAUACCACUCUAGAAUCCCAGCAUAAGCCCGGUGAUAUCUUAUUUGAAGUCACUACUGAAAUGAAACAUGAGAUACGGAUCCCACAGAGUAGAAAAAAGAUGAAAAAGGCUCUCCUCGAGUCCAUGAAGCUUUACAUACAAGAGAACCUGAAACUCUCUGCAAGCAAAGUCAACAAAAUAAAGUUGAAGGAAAUAAAGAGGACAAAUGACCAAAACCUGAGGCUUACCUUCUGGCUUCACUUAAAACCAGAAGAAAGGAAUAUAUCUCUCUUACUACAUUCUCAGCUGAAAGAACUCAUUGGAAGAUCUGUGGGAGAAAAGAAAUUGCAGCUGACAUCACUGUCAGUUGAAGAUGUGAAUGAAUGCAACUCUGGAAUUGGAAUCUGUGGUGACGAGGCAGACUGCUUCAAUGGAGUUGGCACUUACUUAUGUCGUUGUAAAAAAGAGUAUGAAGAUCAUUCUCCCACAAAAUCUGGCACACUGUGUAUCCGUGUUCCACGAUCAGAUCUUGGCAGCUUGUUCAGUUACGUGGAAAUUCUGAUAGGUGCCAUCAUAUCUGUCGCACUGAUUCUUGUGGUGGCGGUUAGCAUUACAUGCAUGGUAGUAAAGAAAAGACGUACAAAGAAGGACUUCUGUCUCCAGGAAUCUUCUCCAAGUGGGACACCUUACACAGCACAGUCACCACCCCAGGUGCCUGCUGUUGAUCUGAGUAACCUUGGUGACUACCUGGCCCGAGACCCCUUUCAGCCAAAACUUCGCGCCAGACCUCCCGAAUGGACCUUGCGGAUGCGAGACAACCCAAAUGAGGCAUACAGGAUUUUUGUUGAGCAGUCUGAAUGUCUGUAAAGUAAAGCUGCAUUGCCAAUUUGAGAUUUUUGAGCAGGAUAAGCUCUGACACCAGUAUAAAGCUUUCCUGCUGCUGCUAUCCCCCCCGCACCCCCUCACAGCAACAAAACUCCUAACAAUCCUGUGAGUCUUUUUCCACUUGUCCUCAGUCCCUAUUGCUCAGGGUAUAGCGCUGUUUCUCCCAGGAGACUCCUAAUUCUUGGUUGGGUUUUUAAUCCCUAUACUAUCUGGCUUUGCACACGAGACUACUUGUAAUCUGAAAGAGUUGCACUUUUUUGCAGGCAACCUGUUAAGUAAGUAAAGCUGCUAUCUUGCUGUUCAUGUAAACAAGGGACAUGUUUCUGUUGGAGUUAAAUGUGUGGCACAGGGGAAGGAUGGAAGGCUGGAAGGCUUAAACUAAUGGAAAAAUUAAAAAAAAAAAAAAAAGAAAGUCAAGCAAGUUGCAUCCCCUCUGAGCAAAUAAAUAGGCAAAACCAACAAGCUGUACUGAGCUG